ACAGCAAAAUCACCAGUGUUAAAUUUUCAGGGAUGGUGUUAAAUACACAGUGUUGAUGCUGUUUUAACACUAUCUGGUAAUAAAAUAACACUGCCAUUGCUAGGCCAGUGUUAUAUCCACGACAGUGUCAGUGUAAAACAAGGGUGUUACCAGAUUUCACACUGAGCGGUGUAAAUCAAGCCACGCCUCCACUAAACAUAUCCUGUCAGGGAUUUUACCGCCAUUUUCUUUCAAAGGAGGACUGAAGAGAGCAGAUGCUAGUUUGGUGAAAGUACACACUGAGUGCUUCAAAUCAUUCAGAAGAGAUGCUGUUUUUAGGGCAGUUUAUUAAAGAAGACCUGACAUGGAUGACUUCCAAUGAGAAACGACUGCUACUUAUAUAAAUUCAUUACAGAAGGACCCUACCAGACUAUAUUUGAAUACGGCAUACCCCUGAAUUCUGGAACUGUUAUUUCUUAACCCAGUUUGGAGGAUAAGAGCUUACCAACUAGUUAUAAAUAUGCUGAGGUGAUGUAUUGCAAAAUAGCCAACAUACAACAAUUAAAGGAUAAUUGCAGACUAUAUCCUGAUGAAGAUAUGGAUGACCCUCUGUCUGGUCAACAGGAGUUUAAAUAUGGACGGGACAGUUAUGUGGCAGCUCUUCCCUGGCUCAUUCACCUCUUGCCUUUAUUCGUGAAAGGAAGAAAGACUGGAGAGGGUCAAUGUGCAACUGAAGCUACUGAUUGUGCUGUGUGAUGAGCAUCAAUCCAUGCUUUGAGGGGGAUGAAUCAGCACCGCCCUGCCUGCUCUGCGUUGGGAACAGAAGUUGCAUCCAGAAUUUUUGCAUCAUUCUGGACCAAAAAGCCAUGAUGAAGACCACUGAUGCAGCCUUCCACUACAUCAUGAGUAAAACAACUACAGAACUAAAUACCAGGUUGGAACGUGUUUAAGAAAAAUGAAAUGUCUUUUGAAUUGAAAUGUCUGUUUUGUUAUGGAAAAAUCUUUAGUAUUGUGAAGGAUAAGCAUUUCUGCCUGCCAGUAAGGUAAUUGCAUGUAUUUUAAUGUUCAAGUUUUGAGUAGGGUGGCUAAUUUUUUUAACUCUCAUUUGAUUUAUUAAAGACCUUUUAAUAAGUGGUUUUCAUGUCACUGCGCUGUGGUAUAAGAUAACUUUCAUCAUUCCAUAUUGUAUUCUGUGUCUAAUUGUAGCUGAGGUAUUUAAAUAAGCAGUGUUAAAUGCAAAGUGUUGUGUGUAUCAAUGUAAAUAUUAAAUGUGAUUUACUUUAAUAAAAAGAGGUUUUGCAAUAUUUCUUGUCAUUUGUCUUUUAUAGAAACAACCCAUUAGCAACAAAAGUGGCUAUUAAUCAGUAUUUUAACACUUAACAUUGUUGAAUUCACAUUACACUGGUGUUGACCUUAAAUUAGGAGUGUUCAUUUUUAACACUGUAUUUCUGUGCCAACACCAGUGUAGUGUGGAAACAACAAUGAAUAGUGUUGAACAAAGUGUAAAAUUUAACAAUAUUGAGUGUUAAAUUAACAUAUAAUGGGUGUUGUUAAAUUAACACUACACUUUUGACUAAAUUAACACAGUGUAGUGUGGACACAUAUACACACUUUGCCGGUGUUAAAUUUGACACCGUGGGUGUUAUUUUAACACCAGUGAUU
Non-coding RNA from Misgurnus anguillicaudatus (oriental weatherfish), 1641 nucleotides. The record is from RefSeq and is a predicted model, not a curated record. NCBI's taxonomy places the organism in Eukaryota, Metazoa, Chordata, Actinopteri, Cypriniformes, Cobitidae.